CCUACGGGUGACAGCAGUGGGGAAUAUUGCACAAUGGGGGAAACCCUGAUGCAGCGACGCCGCGUGAAGGAAGAAGUAUUUCGGUAUGUAAACUUCUAUCAGCAGGGAAGAAAAUGACGGUACCUGACUAAGAAGCCCCGGCUAACUACGUGCCAGCAGCCGCGGUAAUACGUAGGGGGCAAGCGUUAUCCGGAUUUACUGGGUGUAAAGGGAGCGUAGGCGGCGAUGCAAGUCAGAAGUGAAAGCCCGGGGCUCAACUCCGGGACUGCUUUUGAAACUGUACGGCUGGAGUGCAGGAGAGGUAAGUGGAAUUCCUAGUGUAGCGGUGAAAUGCGUAGAUAUUAGGAGGAACACCAGUGGCGAAGGCGGCUUACUGGACUGUAACUGACGUUGAGGCUCGAAAGCGUGGGGAGCAAACAGGAUUAGAUACCCCUGUAGUC
This 440-nucleotide ribosomal RNA is filed under the name uncultured bacterium. Its description in RNAcentral is "partial 16S ribosomal RNA". It matches the Rfam family "Bacterial small subunit ribosomal RNA", at positions 338 to 795 of the family's 1533-position model. The record is from RNAcentral.